ACAGGGAUUGCCCUAGUAACGGCGAGUGAAGCGGCAACAGCUCAAAUUUGAAAUCUGGCUCUUUUAGGGUCCGAGUUGUAAUUUGCAGAGGGCGCUUUGGCUUUGGCAGCGGUCCAAGUUCCUUGGAACAGGACGUCACAGAGGGUGAGAAUCCCGUACGUGGUCGCUAGCUAUCGCCGUGUAAAGCCCCUUCGACGAGUCGAGUUGUUUGGGAAUGCAGCUCUAAAUGGGAGGUAAAUUUCUUCUAAAGCUAAAUAUUGGCCAGAGACCGAUAGCGCACAAGUAGAGUGAUCGAAAGAUGAAAAGCACUUUGGAAAGAGAGUCAAACAGCACGUGAAAUUGUUGAAAGGGAAGCGCUUGCAGCCAGACUUGCUUGCAGUUGCUCAUCCGGGCUUUUGCCCGGUGCACUCUUCUGUAGGCAGGCCAGCAUCAGUUUGGGCGGUGGGAUAAAGGUCUCUGUCACGUACCUCUCUUCGGGGAGGCCUUAUAGGGGAGACGACAUACCACCAGCCUAGACUGAGGUCCGCGCAUCUGCUAGGAUGCUGGCGUAAUGGCUGUAAGCGGCCCGUCUUGAAACACGGACCAAGGAGUCUAACAUCUAUGCGAGUGUUUGGGUGUCAAGCCCGAGCGCGUAAUGAAAGUGAACGGAGGUGGGAACCCGCAAGGGUGCACCAUCGACCGAUCCUGAAGUUUUCGGAAGGAUUUGAGUAAGAGCAUGGCUGUUGGGACCCGAAAGAUGGUGAACUAUGCUUGAAUAGGGUGAAGCCAGAGGAAACUCUGGUGGAGGCUCGCAGCGGUUCUGACGUGCAAAUCGAUCGUCAAAUUUGGGCAUAGGGGCGAAAGACUAAUC
Molecule: ribosomal RNA, 850 nt
Filed under: Pleospora rosae
Lineage: Eukaryota; Fungi; Ascomycota; Dothideomycetes; Pleosporales; Pleosporaceae
Also listed under: 1 other name
Description: eukaryotic LSU rRNA
Rfam family: Eukaryotic large subunit ribosomal RNA
Source: RNAcentral